GACGAACGCUGGCGGCGGGUCUAACACAUGCAAGUCGAGGGACGAACCAAGUGCUUGCACUUGGGGAAACCGGCGAACGGGUGAGUAACACGUGAGGAACCUGCCCUGUACACCGGGAUAACUACGGGAAACCGUGGCUAAUACCGGAUGCUCCACCGAGAUCGCAUGAUCGUGGUGGGAAAGCUCAGGCGGUACAGGAGGGCCUCGCGGCGUAUCAGCUAGUUGGUGGGGUAAUGGCCCACCAAGGCUACGACGCGUAGCUGGAGUGAGAGCUCGAACAGCCACACUGGGACUGAGACACGGCCCAGACUCCUACGGGAGGCAGCAGUGGAGAAUCUUGCGCAAUGGGCGAAAGCCUGACGCAGCCACGCCGCGUGCGGGAAGAAGGCCUUCGGGUCGUAAACCGCUUUCAGGAGGGAAGAAGCGAAAGUGACAGUACCUCCAGAAGAAGGCCCGGCUAACUACGUACCAGCAGCCGCGGUAAUACGUAGGGGGCCGAGUGUUGUCCGGAUUUAUUGGGCGUAAAGCGCAUGUAGGCGGCCUUGUAAG
RNAcentral lists this ribosomal RNA (549 nucleotides) under uncultured Actinomycetes bacterium. RNAcentral's name for it is "bacterial SSU rRNA". It matches the Rfam family "Bacterial small subunit ribosomal RNA", at positions 28 to 587 of the family's 1533-position model. Lineage: Bacteria; Bacillati; Actinomycetota; Actinomycetes. The record is from RNAcentral.